This 440-nucleotide ribosomal RNA is filed under the name uncultured bacterium. Its description in RNAcentral is "partial 16S ribosomal RNA". It matches the Rfam family "Bacterial small subunit ribosomal RNA", at positions 338 to 795 of the family's 1533-position model. The record is from RNAcentral.
CCUACGGGGUGCAGCAGUGGGGAAUAUUGCACAAUGGGCGAAAGCCUGAUGCAGUAACGCCGCGUGAGUGAUGACGGCCUUCGGGUUGUAAAGCCCUGUCUUCAGGGACGAUAAUGACGGUACCUGAGGAGGAAGCGACGGCUAACUACGGGCCAGCAGCCGCGGUAAUACGGAGGGGGCGAGCGGUGUCCGGAUUUACUGGGCGUAAAGGGGGCGUAGGCGGGCUUUUAAGUGAGAUGGGAAAUACUCGGGCUCAACUUGAGUGCUGCAUUUGAAACUGGAAGGCGAGAGUGCGGGAGAGGUGAAUGGAAUUCCUGGUGUAGCGGUGAAAUGCUUAGAGAUUAGGAAGAACACCGGUGGCGAAGGCGAUUCUCUGGACUGUAACUGACGCUGAGGCUCGAAAGCGUGGGUAGCAAACAGGAUUAGAUACCCGAGUAGUC